This is a long non-coding RNA of Pundamilia nyererei, 621 nucleotides long. RefSeq lists it as uncharacterized. NCBI's taxonomy places the organism in Eukaryota, Metazoa, Chordata, Actinopteri, Cichliformes, Cichlidae. The transcript is spliced from 3 exons. The record is from RefSeq and is a predicted model, not a curated record.
UGCACAGAGAGACUGAGACACUGACAGACAGAGACUGGAUGCUCGGCAGCUGAGACCCACAGUUCUUCAUUUUGUGCAGAACUCACAGGAACAAUGAAGAAUCGCUUUGCUUUGGCCUCCUGUUUGCUGCUGCUUUGGACCUUCACAGAAUUUCUUGCAGUGUUUGUCAGCUGUCAAAAAACCGGUAAGAAGACUACUUUUUUCAUGUGACUAUGUAGCAUUAUAAAUGUGUGUGGAAAUAUAUGAACUAUGUGGUAAUGUACAAGUAACAGUUAAAUGUUAAAACGUUUAAAGUACAUGCAAGUUUGAGGUGUUCAAUUUUAUUUAUUUAUUUUUUCCACACCAGACAUAACAGUGAACGAGCUCGCUGAGGGAAUUAAAGUGAUUUGUCCUGACAAUUACCAACCAAAAGAAACAACAUUGGAAAAAAGAGACAACAACACCAAGGAGUACACAUGCACAAAUUCUGCGAAAGAGAAACUGAAAAUCUAUGUGAAGUUUCGCAGUAAGUUGUAUUUGUGAAAUGUGAUGAAAAAAACUUCAGUUUUCCAUGUUAUUGUGCCUAGUAUGCAUACUCUUUUGUACUUGCUUUACUUGGCUUCAUUCUUUAUAAUAAUGUAA